This 316-nucleotide ribosomal RNA is filed under the name uncultured Gaertneriomyces. RNAcentral's name for it is "partial large subunit ribosomal RNA". It matches the Rfam family "Eukaryotic large subunit ribosomal RNA", at positions 40 to 350 of the family's 3401-position model. Lineage: Eukaryota; Fungi; Chytridiomycota; Chytridiomycetes; Spizellomycetales; Spizellomycetaceae. The record is from RNAcentral.
GUAUCAAUAAGCGGAGGAAAAGAAACUAACAAGGAUUCCCCUAGUAACGGCGAGUGAAGCGGGAAUAGCUCAAAUUUGAAAUCUCAUGGGUUCCACCUAUGCGAAUUGUAGUUUAGAGAAGUGUUUUCGGGGACGGCUUGGGUAUAAGUCCUUUGGAAAAAGGCAUCGUAGAGGGUGAGAAUCCCGUUAACGACCCAACGUUCGUUCCUAUGUGAUACACUUUCAAAGAGUCAGGUAGUUUGGGAAUGCUGCCUAAAAUGGGUGGUAAAUACCAUCUAAAGCUAAAUAUUGGCGAGAGACCGAUAGCGCACAAGUA